RNAcentral lists this ribosomal RNA (253 nucleotides) under uncultured bacterium. RNAcentral describes it as "partial 16S ribosomal RNA". It matches the Rfam family "Bacterial small subunit ribosomal RNA", at positions 524 to 776 of the family's 1533-position model. The record is from RNAcentral.
UACGUAGGGGGCAAGCGUUGUCCGGAUUUAUUGGGCGUAAAGAGCUCGUAGGCGGCCUGUCGCGUCGGAUGUGAAAGCCCGGGGCUUAACCCCGGGUCUGCAUUCGAUACGGGCAGGCUAGAGUGUGGUAGGGGAGAUCGGAAUUCCUGGUGUAGCGGUGAAAUGCGCAGAUAUCAGGAGGAACACCGGUGGCGAAGGCGGAUCUCUGGGCCAUUACUGACGCUGAGGAGCGAAAGCUCGGGGAGCGAACGGG